Molecule: long non-coding RNA, 282 nt
Filed under: Gossypium barbadense (sea-island cotton)
Lineage: Eukaryota; Viridiplantae; Streptophyta; Magnoliopsida; Malvales; Malvaceae
Description: long non-coding RNA (GBAR_LNC003732)
Source: RNAcentral
AUAAGUUAACACACUAUACUAUUCAAAAAAAAAAUAUUCAUUCAAGGAGAGGGUGAUGAUGAUGAAGGGGGCGGCAUUGGCGGCUGAUAUAAAGAGAAACCUUGGGGUGAUGAAGGAAAGGGUGUUGGAGAAACUGGCUGCUGCUGCAGUCCCUGCCGAUGCUUUGGAGAAUGCUAGGCAUUUCUUGGAGAGUGUGGUGAGGGAUGUUACGGUUGCUGCUCAGGGUCUUACCAAGGAUGCUUUGCACCGUAUCAAGACUCAUCUUGUUGAUAUUCUUCCUUC